UACGUAGGCAGCAAGCGUUGUUCGGAAUUACUGGGCGUAAAGAGUGUGUAGGCGGUGCUGUAAGUUUGGUGUGAAAUCUCCCGGCUCAACCGGGAGGCUGCAUCGAAUAUUGGAAUGCUAGAGGGUGGGAGAGGUAAGCGGAAUUCCUGGUGUAGCGGUGAAAUGCGUAGAUAUCAGGAGGAACACCUGUGGUGUAGACAGCUUACUGGACCACUUCUGACGCUGAGACACAAAAGCGUGGGUAGCAAACAGG
This 253-nucleotide ribosomal RNA is filed under the name uncultured bacterium. RNAcentral describes it as "partial 16S ribosomal RNA". It matches the Rfam family "Bacterial small subunit ribosomal RNA", at positions 524 to 776 of the family's 1533-position model. The record is from RNAcentral.